RNAcentral lists this ribosomal RNA (424 nucleotides) under Verrucomicrobiota bacterium. Its description in RNAcentral is "Verrucomicrobia bacterium partial 16S ribosomal RNA". It matches the Rfam family "Bacterial small subunit ribosomal RNA", at positions 355 to 776 of the family's 1533-position model. The record is from RNAcentral. Lineage: Bacteria; Pseudomonadati; Verrucomicrobiota.
UGAGGAAUAUUAGUCAAUGGACGCAAGUCUGAACCAGCCAAGUAGCGUGCAGGAUGACGGCCCUAUGGGUUGUAAACUGCUUUUAUAUGGGGAUAAAGUGGGGAACGUGUUCCCUUUUGCAGGUACCAUAUGAAUAAGGACCGGCUAAUUCCGUGCCAGCAGCCGCGGUAAUACGGAAGGUUCGGGCGUUAUCCGGAUUUAUUGGGUUUAAAGGGAGCGUAGGCCGUUUGGUAAGCGUGUUGUGAAAUGUAGGAGCUCAACUUCUAGAUUGCAGCGCGAACUGUCAGACUGGAGUGCGCACAACGUAGGCGGAAUUCAUGGUGUAGCGGUGAAAUGCUUAGAUAUCAUGAAGAACUACGAUUGCGAAGGCAGCUUACGGGAGCGCAACUGACGCUGAAGCUCGAAGGUGCGGGUAUCGAACAGG